This 462-nucleotide small RNA is filed under the name Coniochaeta sp. MS-2015. Its description in RNAcentral is "eukaryotic LSU rRNA". The stretch from base 134 to 287 matches the Rfam family "5.8S ribosomal RNA". The record is from RNAcentral. Lineage: Eukaryota; Fungi; Ascomycota; Sordariomycetes; Coniochaetales; Coniochaetaceae.
CACUGUAGUGGUGGAGGCUCCCACUGUACAGUGGUAGAGGACCUCCCACUGUAGUGGUGGAGGGGCGCCCGCCGGAGGUACGAAACUCUCCUGUCUUACAGUGGAAUCUCUGAGUACAAAGCAAAUAAGUCAAAACUUUCAACAACGGAUCUCUUGGUUCUGGCAUCGAUGAAGAACGCAGCGAAAUGCGAUAAGUAAUGUGAAUUGCAGAAUUCAGUGAAUCAUCGAAUCUUUGAACGCACAUUGCGCCCGGCAGUACUCUGCCGGGCAUGCCUGUUCGAGCGUCAUUUCAACCCUCAAGCCCGGCUUGGUGUUGGGGCCCUACGGCUGCCGUAGGCCCUGAAAGGAAGUGGCGGGCUCGCUGCAACUCCGAGCGUAGUAACUCACUGUCUCGCUAGGGAGGUUGCGGCGGCGCUCCGGCCGUUAAAGAACCCAUCUUUAACCAAGGUUGACCUCGGAUCA